GAUGAAGAACGCAGCGAAAUGCGAUAAGUAAUGUGAAUUGCAGAAUUCAGUGAAUCAUCGAAUCUUUGAACGCACAUUGCGCCCCCUGGUAUUCCGGGGGGCAUGCCUGUUCGAGCGUCAUUUCAACCCUCAAGCUCUGCUUGGUAUUGGGCGUCGCCGGGGAGUCUCCCCGGCGUGCCUCAAAGCCAUCGGCGGUGGUGCCUUUCUCUAAGCGUGGUAGAAUUUUUAUUCGCUUCUGAGUUGGGCUUCGCCUGCCGGACAAACCGGGCCCUCGCGGCCCACCUUCUCAGGUUGACCUCGGAUCAGGUAGGGAUACCUGCUGAACUUAAGCAUAUCAAUAAGCGGAGGA
RNAcentral lists this unclassified non-coding RNA (349 nucleotides) under soil metagenome. RNAcentral describes it as "partial contains 5.8S ribosomal RNA, internal transcribed spacer 2, and large subunit ribosomal RNA". The stretch from base 1 to 120 matches the Rfam family "5.8S ribosomal RNA", at positions 35 to 154 of the family's 154-position model. The record is from RNAcentral.